This 502-nucleotide ribosomal RNA is filed under the name uncultured bacterium. RNAcentral's name for it is "bacterial SSU rRNA". It matches the Rfam family "Bacterial small subunit ribosomal RNA", at positions 1 to 497 of the family's 1533-position model. The record is from RNAcentral.
CCCUUAGAGUUUGAUCCUGGCUCAGGAUGAACGCUAGCUACAGGCUUAACACAUGCAAGUCGAGGGGCAGCAUGAACUUAGCUUGCUAAGUUUGAUGGCGACCGGCGCACGGGUGAGUAACACGUAUCCAACCUGCCGAUGACUCGGGGAUAGCCUUUCGAAAGAAAGAUUAAUACCCGAUGGCAUAGUUCUUCCGCAUGGUAGAACUAUUAAAGAAUUUCGGUCAUCGAUGGGGAUGCGUUCCAUUAGGUUGUUGGCGGGGUAACGGCCCACCAAGCCUUCGAUGGAUAGGGGUUCUGAGAGGAAGGUCCCCCACAUUGGAACUGAGACACGGUCCAAACUCCUACGGGAGGCAGCAGUGAGGAAUAUUGGUCAAUGGACGAGAGUCUGAACCAGCCAAGUAGCGUGAAGGAUGACUGCCCUAUGGGUUGUAAACUUCUUUUAUACGGGAAUAAAGUGGAGUAUGCAUACUCCUUUGUAUGUACCGUAGAAUAAGAUUGGC